RNAcentral lists this ribosomal RNA (506 nucleotides) under uncultured delta proteobacterium. Its description in RNAcentral is "SSU rRNA". It matches the Rfam family "Bacterial small subunit ribosomal RNA", at positions 242 to 741 of the family's 1533-position model. Lineage: Bacteria; Deltaproteobacteria. The record is from RNAcentral.
CAGCUAGUUGGUAGGGUAAUGGCCUACCAAGGCUAAGACGGGUAGCUGGUCUGAGAGGAUGAACAGCCACACUGGAACUGAGACACGGUCCAGACUCCUACGGGAGGCAGCAGUGGGGAAUCUUGCGCAAUGGGCGAAAGCCUGACGCAGCGACGCCGCGUGAGCGAUGAAGGCCUUCGGGUUGUAAAGCUCUGUGGGGAGGAAAGAAUAAGGUUUGGCUAAUAUCCAAGCUGAUGACGGUACCUCCUUAGCAAGCACCGGCUAACUCUGUGCCAGCAGCCGCGGUAAGACAGAGGGUGCAAACGUUGUUCGGAAUUACUGGGCGUAAAGCGCGUGUAGGCGGCCCUGUAAGUCGGGUGUGAAAUCCCACGGCUCAACCGUGGAAGUGCACUCGAAACUACAGGGCUAGAGUCCUGGAGAGGAAGGUGGAAUGCUUGGUGUAGAGGUGAAAUUCGUAGAUAUCAAGCGGAACACCGGUGGCGAAGGCCGCCUUCUGGACAGUGACU